UUCGGUACAUCGGUGACAGGUGGUGCAUGGUUGUCGUCAGCUCGUGUCGUGAGAUGUUGGGUUAAGUCCCGCAACGAGCGCAACCCCUAUUGUUAGUUGCCAUCAUUCAGUUGGGCACUCUAGCGAGACUGCCGGUAAUAAACCGGAGGAAGGUGGGGAUGACGUCAAAUCAUCAUGCCCCUUAUGACCUGGGCUACACACGUGCUACAAUGGUUGGUACAACGAGUUGCGAGUCGGUGACGGCGAGCUAAUCUCUUAAGGCCAAUCUCAGUUCGGAUUGUAGGCUGCAACUCGCCUACAUGAAGUCGGAAUCGCUAGUAAUCGCGGAUCAGCACGCCGCGGUGAAUACGUUCCCGGGCCUU
RNAcentral lists this ribosomal RNA (362 nucleotides) under uncultured Streptococcus sp. RNAcentral's name for it is "bacterial SSU rRNA". It matches the Rfam family "Bacterial small subunit ribosomal RNA", at positions 1019 to 1382 of the family's 1533-position model. The record is from RNAcentral. Lineage: Bacteria; Bacillati; Bacillota; Bacilli; Lactobacillales; Streptococcaceae.